CAGCAGCCACGGGAAUACGAAGGGUGCAAGCGUUACUCGGAAUUACUGGGCGUAAAGCGUGCGUAGGUGGUGGUUUAAGUCCGUUGUGAAAGCCCUGGGCUCAACCUGGGAAUUGCAGUGGAUACUGGGUCACUAGAGUGUGGUAGAGGAUAGUGGAAUUUCCGGUGUAGCAGUGAAAUGCGUAGAGAUCGGAAGGAACAUCUGUGGCGAAGGCGACUAUCUGGGCCAACACUGACACUGAGACACGAAAGCGUGGGGAGCAAACAGGAUUAGAUACCCGUGUAGUCCCUGUCUCUUAUAC
This 301-nucleotide ribosomal RNA is filed under the name uncultured bacterium. Its description in RNAcentral is "partial 16S ribosomal RNA". It matches the Rfam family "Bacterial small subunit ribosomal RNA", at positions 509 to 807 of the family's 1533-position model. The record is from RNAcentral.